GGUGAGAGCAAAGAGAAGAAGAAGAGGGUCUUCUUCUAGGAUUGCUGAGUUUACCUCUUCUCUUCCUCCAUCUGUGAGUUUUUUUAAAGUGUCUCACAUCUAAAACUCCUUCUCCUACUUCUCAUCUUUGGAAGAGUCCAAAUCAAGAAGGAGGCAUCUGAUCGACCAUCGAAGAAGGAUCAGCACAGUACUAGCAUAUUAUGCUGAUUUUCUGGACCAGGAC
This 223-nucleotide long non-coding RNA is filed under the name Elaeis guineensis (African oil palm). RNAcentral's name for it is "long non-coding RNA (EGUI_LNC078448)". Lineage: Eukaryota; Viridiplantae; Streptophyta; Magnoliopsida; Arecales; Arecaceae. The record is from RNAcentral.